This 1355-nucleotide long non-coding RNA is filed under the name Equus caballus (horse). RNAcentral's name for it is "lncRNA (ENSECAG00000045383.1)". Lineage: Eukaryota; Metazoa; Chordata; Mammalia; Perissodactyla; Equidae. The record is from RNAcentral.
AUUUAGGAGUGACCUUGAAAGACAGUAGUGAGGAAGAAUCUUUCCUCUGGAUGGAGGUGGUGAUCAGUGCAAAUGAUGACCUACUUUUUAUGGAAAAAGAAGUGGCCUGAGGAAGAACACAUCACUCUGGAAACCAAAGGGUGGAAGCAGAAGCAGCCCCACUUCCCAAACUCCCAACGACUCACUGCAGAAUUUUGUCCUUCCUGUCCCUGUUCUUCUUGGUUCUGCAAGGUUGGAGGUCCUGGGUCCUACUCUUGCCAGGGGCCACAGAAAUGGUCCCAUUGGGAAUAAGCUAUGGAUGCCACCAGAGAAAUUUUGACUCUUUGUGUUCAGAGACCAGCAGGCAAGAGGAAGAGUCAACAUCUUGACAAGGUCAUUGACUCUGAUCGUCAAGACAAGACUUUUGGAAACACUUGGAGAGUUUCAAAAGCUCAUAGCAAGGUCUCGCCCCCCAACUAUCAAUCAUUGAGGAGCUUGGGUGGAGAGCUGCUCAUGAGUGUGUUAAAUGAUGAUUUUUUGGGUGCUGUAUCUGGCGAUGUCUUCUCUGAACUUUCUCAUGGUCAUGGUAUCAUCAUACAAUUAAAGAAACAGAGUGGGAAAAAUCCUUCACUUUCAGACCACUAGUAAAAAGUCACAGAGAUCUGAAAGGGAAUAUUGCCUGCAGAAAAUUGUGACCUGCUCUAUCCCACUUACACUAAAACAGUUCCAGCUCAGCAUGAUGGACACUCCACUCCAGGCAGCUGUGGCCAAGAAGAGGAGCCUUCUUCUCUCUCCUGCUCCUACUCAAGAGGCAGGCAGCUUAACAGAGAGAUCAGAGACAGCAGCUGAAUGAGAGCCUUGGUGAGAUGACUGUCACCACAUGGUGACUGUGGGUGACCCACUGCUGAUAUUUCUGAGGAGCAACAUCAUAGCCUUCCAAGUUCGGGGAAAAGACUUUACUAAAACAGUCAAGCUGAGUCACCAAACAAAUAAAUAAGCCAACAACUACAGCAACCUUGACAAGCCCCAGAAAAGGACAGUGGAAUGAGCAUUCAGAGUUGCUAAAUCAUAUCAUCCAAAAUGUCUAGUUUUCAACAAAACGUUAUGAGAAAUGAAAAAUAAAAAGUGUGAGCCAUCAAAGGGAAAAAAGCAGGCAACAGAAAUUGUGUGCAAGAAAAACCAAGACGUUAGAUUUAAAAAGUGUUCAACAAAGUGUUCAAAGUAGCUGUUAUGAAUAUCUUCAAAGAACCUAUGAAACUAUGCUUAAAGAAAUUAAAAAAAGAUAUGAUUGCAAUCUGUCAAGUAAAGAAUAUUACCGAAGAAAUAGAAAUUAUAAAAAAGAAUAAAAUACUGCUGAUAGGUGUGAGUUUUAAUUA